Paramuricea clavata is the source of this 464-nucleotide non-coding RNA. Lineage: Eukaryota; Metazoa; Cnidaria; Anthozoa; Malacalcyonacea; Plexauridae. The record is from the annotation of a GenBank genome assembly.
CAGAUUUGUAGCAACUUGUUUGCAGACCUGUAACAACUUGUGCGUUCCGCGCAGUUUUUUAGCCAUACAGCUGGGAUUUUGUCAGGACCAGUUGCCUUCUCUUCGUCAAGAUUUCGCAGUACAUAACGAACUUCUCCUUCGGUUAAAGUAAGAUCUGAGAUGGUGGUCAGAUCGAUCAUGUCAUCUUCAAAAUCAACAGAGGAGAGUUAGUUGUAAGGCCGGUCGGGAGUAUAUAAACGUAAAACGUCGUUUUGUAAAGCUAUAUUUAUAUGUCAAGUGUCAGCGAUAUCAAAUCAAUCGUAUUAUCAUAAAUGCUUUAAAUAGGGAAUAGUUUGCGUAUUACAAAUCUGACAUUACAAACUGUCGUUAUACUGGGCCAUGUUUUUACGCUUAAUACGCUGAAUGUAUGUACAUAUAGCGUGUUUCGGGGAUAUGUGGUAAAUGUGUUGACCAGCCACUAAAAA